AUUUGGGUUGUUUCUAGUUUGUGGCUAUUAUGAAUAAAUAUUGCAAUGAGCAUACUUGUCACAUGGUGCACAUGGGAACACAUUUUUUUUUUUUAAUGUGUAAAAAGGCUUUAUUUGCAGGGAAGCAGGAAUUUAAUCAAAGAGGCCAAAUCCCAUGUCAUCGUCUGAUUCUUCAGACUCCUCCUUCUUCUCAUCUUUCUUCUCCUCUGCUGCAGCAGCAGGCGCGGAGCCAGCAGCAGACGCUGCAGAGCCUGGGGCAGCAGAGACGGCUACAGCCCCACCGGCAGGUACAUUGGCAAGCUUGCCAAUACCCUGGGCAAUGACGUCUUCAAUGUUUUUUCCAUUCAGCUCACUAAUAAUCUUGUUGAGCCGGUCGUCGUCCACCUCGAUGCCCACGCUGUCCAAGAUCUUCUCGAUGUCCUUGGCACUGGGGGAGGAGUUACCCCCGAGGGCAGCCAGCAGCUCACCAGGAAAUAAUUGUACAUUGUCUUAAAAGAAACAACUUUUGGCUUCAUGAUCCUCUCUUUUGGCCCAAAGAUUGGUUGGACCAGGUUUGACGUCUACAUAGUAUACGAG
Molecule: long non-coding RNA, 576 nt
Filed under: Piliocolobus tephrosceles (Ugandan red Colobus)
Lineage: Eukaryota; Metazoa; Chordata; Mammalia; Primates; Cercopithecidae
Description: lncRNA (ENSPTEG00000006440.1)
Source: RNAcentral